Eutrema salsugineum is the source of this 103-nucleotide small nucleolar RNA. It matches the Rfam family "Plant small nucleolar RNA R71". Rfam says of the family: R71 is a member of the C/D box family of snoRNAs containing the C (UGAUGA) and D (CUGA) box motifs. Multiple nearly identical copies of this snoRNA have been identified in Arabidopsis, and it is thought to function as a 2'-O-ribose methylation guide for 18S ribosomal RNA. The record is from Rfam. Lineage: Eukaryota; Viridiplantae; Streptophyta; Magnoliopsida; Brassicales; Brassicaceae.
AACCCAUGAUGUGGACAUUGGUUGGUGUAACUCAUAAACAUCUCCCAAGCUUCCCCAAAGCUUUCAUUGUUGUACUGGGUAAACCUUGAUGGUUUCUCACCUU